Molecule: ribosomal RNA, 947 nt
Filed under: Cellulosimicrobium cellulans
Lineage: Bacteria; Bacillati; Actinomycetota; Actinomycetes; Micrococcales; Promicromonosporaceae
Description: bacterial SSU rRNA
Rfam family: Bacterial small subunit ribosomal RNA
Source: RNAcentral
UNNCNNANUAUUGGGCGUNNGAGCUCGUAGGCGGUUUGUCGCGUCUGGUGUGAAAACUCGAGGCUCAACCUCGAGCUUGCAUCGGGUACGGGCAGACUAGAGUGCGGUAGGGGAGACUGGAAUUCCUGGUGUAGCGGUGGAAUGCGCAGAUAUCAGGAGGAACACCGAUGGCGAAGGCAGGUCUCUGGGCCGCAACUGACGCUGAGGAGCGAAAGCAUGGGGAGCGAACAGGAUUAGAUACCCUGGUAGUCCAUGCCGUAAACGUUGGGCACUAGGUGUGGGGCUCAUUCCACGAGUUCCGUGCCGCAGCAAACGCAUUAAGUGCCCCGCCUGGGGAGUACGGCCGCAAGGCUAAAACUCAAAGGAAUUGACGGGGGCCCGCACAAGCGGCGGAGCAUGCGGAUUAAUUCGAUGCAACGCGAAGAACCUUACCAAGGCUUGACAUGCACGGGAAGCCACCAGAGAUGGUGGUCUCUUUGGACACUCGUGCACAGGUGGUGCAUGGUUGUCGUCAGCUCGUGUCGUGAGAUGUUGGGUUAAGUCCCGCAACGAGCGCAACCCUCGUCCCAUGUUGCCAGCGGGUUAUGCCGGGGACUCAUGGGAGACUGCCGGGGUCAACUCGGAGGAAGGUGGGGAUGACGUCAAAUCAUCAUGCCCCUUAUGUCUUGGGCUUCACGCAUGCUACAAUGGCCGGUACAAAGGGCUGCGAUACCGUAAGGUGGAGCGAAUCCCAAAAAGCCGGUCUCAGUUCGGAUUGGGGUCUGCAACUCGACCCCAUGAAGUCGGAGUCGCUAGUAAUCGCAGAUCAGCAACGCUGCGGUGAAUACGUUCCCGGGGCCUUGUACACACCGCCCGUCAAGUCACGAAAAGUCGGUAACACCCGAAGCCCAUGGCCCAACCGUUCGCGGGGGGGAGUGGGUCGAAGGGUGGGACUGGCGAUGGGACUA